GACAGAGGGGGCCAGCGUUGUCCGGAAUGACUGGGCGUACAGCGCGCGCAGGCGGUCGUCGACGUGCCGUGUGACAGCAGCAGGCUCAACCUGCUGUGGCCACGGUAGACGCGGCGACUGGAGUGGGUGAGAGGGAUGUGGAAUACCCGGUGGAGCGGUGAAAUGCGUAGAGAUCGGGUGGAACACCAGUGGCGCAAGCGGCAUCCUGGCACCAAACUGACGCUGAGGCGCGAGAGCGUGGGGAGCAAACGGG
This 253-nucleotide ribosomal RNA is filed under the name uncultured bacterium. Its description in RNAcentral is "partial 16S ribosomal RNA". It matches the Rfam family "Bacterial small subunit ribosomal RNA", at positions 524 to 776 of the family's 1533-position model. The record is from RNAcentral.